Molecule: small RNA, 106 nt
Filed under: Marmota monax (woodchuck)
Lineage: Eukaryota; Metazoa; Chordata; Mammalia; Rodentia; Sciuridae
Source: RNAcentral
GCUAGGUGUGGUGGCACAUCUGUAAUUCCAGCUACUUGGGAGGCUGAGGCAGGAGGAUGGCAAGUUCUAGGCCAACCUGGGCAAAUUUAGUGAAACCUUGCCUCAA